This 1159-nucleotide long non-coding RNA is filed under the name Fukomys damarensis (Damara mole-rat). RNAcentral's name for it is "lncRNA (ENSFDAG00000022616.1)". Lineage: Eukaryota; Metazoa; Chordata; Mammalia; Rodentia; Bathyergidae. The record is from RNAcentral.
AUGAAGCAGCUGCCACAGUCAGAGGCCACUUCCGGUGGGCGUGGCCAGGUCGGAAGUCAAGGCCGCCCUCGCUCAGGGGCGGUGACAUUCAGCAUGGGCUGGGAGCCCUCAGAGGAGAAGCCGCCAGGGCAGAGUCCCGGGAAACUGUCCCCGGGGCACCAUCUGGACUGUCCCUUGCCUGCCUGCUCUUGGAGCCCAGUGACUUUUCCAGAGUCUCUGACGGUUCAGCGAGCUGCUCACCGGCCUCCUUUCCUGAGGUUAUCCAGCCGCUCUUCCGGAUGCCUGCAUUCUCUGGACAGUGCCCCCUGCCGGAGUCAUGCAAAGCAAUCGUUUAUGGAAAAAUCAUACGGAGGUUUCUCCAAAAACUCAAACACAGCCUUGUCCUACAAUCCAGCAAUCCCACUCGUGGUAUCUGCAAAGAAACUGAAACAGGGCUGCAUCCUCAUGUUCAUCACAGAAUUUUUUGUGAGAGCCAAGAUGCCAAUGAAGGAUGAAUGGAUACAGAAAUAAAAUACACACAUCCGAAGGGAUAUUAUGCAGCUCUAAAAUGGGGAACCUCUGCCCUAUGUAACAACGUAAGUACAUAGAUCUGGAGAGCAUUAGGCUAAGCGAAAUAAGCCAGACUCAGAAGGGCAAAUACUUACGUACGAUCUCACUUACAUUUAGAAUCUAACACAGUCAGACUCAUGGGAACAGAGAGUAAAAUCAUGGUUUCCAGGGGCUGGGGAGGUGAGAAAGGAGGCGAUGGUUAAAAGGUACAGAAUUUCAUUUAUGCAACAUACAUUGUUCUGGAGAUCUGCUAUACCACACGGUGUCUUUAACUAACCAUACUAUAUUGUAUACCUAAAAUUUUCCAGGAAGGUAAACCUCAUGUUAAGGAUAGAUCUUCUGAUAAGUGUUCACACACACACACACACACACACACACACACACACUCACACACACACUCACACACACACUGAUAAAGGGUACGGGAAGAAACUUCAGGGAGUGACGGAUGUGUUUGUGAUGGUGAUGGUAAUGACAUUUUCAUGGACUGAUACUUAUUCCCAAAGCUCACUGAGCUUUUCGUAUGUUAAUCAUACCUCAAUAAAGUGGUUUUAAGAAAUAAAAAUGAAAUGCUUUUUUGCAAAAAUUCAUGGAAAAAUUUAUUCCAAAG